Small nuclear RNA from Ictidomys tridecemlineatus (thirteen-lined ground squirrel), 107 nucleotides. Lineage: Eukaryota; Metazoa; Chordata; Mammalia; Rodentia; Sciuridae. The record is from Ensembl.
GUGCUUACUUUGGUAGUACAGAUACUGAAAUGGGAAUAAUAAAGAAAAUAUUAGCAUGGGCCCUGCACAAGGAAGUCACACAAAUUUGUGAAGCAUUCCCUAUUUUU